AGGACUAACGCUGGCGGCGUGCCUAACACAUGCAAGUCGAACGAGGGGUAGCAAUACCCCUAGUGGCAGACGGGUGAGUAACACGUAGUCAACCUACCUCUUAAUGGGGGAUAACUAGCCGAAAGGUUAGCUAAUACCGCAUACGAUCGUCGAGUGGCAUCACACGACGAUGAAAGGAGCAAUCCGUUGAGAGAGGGGACUGCGUCCCAUUAGUUAGUUGGUGGGGUAAUGGCCUACCAAGACUCCGAUGGGUAGCUGGCUUGAGAGAGCGACCAGCCACACUGGAACUGAGACACGGUCCAGACUCCUACGGGAGGCAGCAGUGAGGAAUUUUUCCGCAAUGGGGGAAACCCUGACGGAGCGACGCCGCGUGUGGGAAGAAGGCCUUCGGGUCGUAACCACUGUCGAGGGGGACGAUAUUGACGGUACCCCUGGAGGAAGCCCGGCUAACUACGCGCCAGCAGCCGC
RNAcentral lists this ribosomal RNA (468 nucleotides) under uncultured bacterium. RNAcentral's name for it is "SSU rRNA". It matches the Rfam family "Bacterial small subunit ribosomal RNA", at positions 26 to 518 of the family's 1533-position model. The record is from RNAcentral.